Molecule: ribosomal RNA, 369 nt
Filed under: uncultured bacterium
Lineage: Bacteria
Description: bacterial SSU rRNA
Rfam family: Bacterial small subunit ribosomal RNA
Source: RNAcentral
ACGGAGGGUGCAAGCGUUAUCCGGAUUUAUUGGGUUUAAAGGGUCCGUAGGCGGAUUAAUCAGUCAGUGGUGAAAUCUCAUAGCUUAACUAUGAAACUGCCAUUGAUACUGUUAGUCUUGAGUGAUGUUGAAGUUGCUGGAAUGUGUAGUGUAGCGGUGAAAUGCUUAGAUAUUACGCAGAACACCAAUUGCGAAGGCAGGUGACUAAACAUCAACUGACGCUGAUGGACGAAAGCGUGGGGAGCGAACAGGAUUAGAUACCCUGGUAGUCCACGCCGUAAACGAUGGAUACUUGCUGUUGGGUUUUCGGACUCAGUGGCUAAGCGAAAGUUAUAAGUAUCCCACCUGGGGAGUACGUUCGCAAGAAUG